This 793-nucleotide ribosomal RNA is filed under the name uncultured Wilcoxina. RNAcentral describes it as "eukaryotic LSU rRNA". The stretch from base 472 to 793 matches the Rfam family "Eukaryotic large subunit ribosomal RNA", at positions 1 to 319 of the family's 3401-position model. The record is from RNAcentral. Lineage: Eukaryota; Fungi; Ascomycota; Pezizomycetes; Pezizales; Pyronemataceae.
AACCCAUUCUGUGUACCUUGCCUGUUGCUUCCCUAUAACAUGACUUUGGUCACUCUUGUGAUGCAAAUCUCAAGAGAGUCCCCAUGGAAGGUCAUCAAUAAACUCAUGUAUCCAAUGUCUUCUGUCUGAACUGUUUAUAACAAAUGUUAAAACUUUCAACAACGGAUCUCUUGGUUCUCGCAUCGAUGAAGAACGCAGCGAAAUGCGAUAAGUAGUGUGAAUUGCAGAAUUCAGUGAAUCAUCGAAUCUUUGAACGCACAUUGCGCCUCCUGGUAUUCCGGGAGGCAUGCCUGUUCGAGCGUCAUUAAAUACCUCUCAAGCACUAUUGCUUGGUCAUGGAAGAUGAGUAUGCUUGCAUUCUCCCUUCUGAAAUUCAAAGGCGGAUGAUCUCAUAUUCCCCGGCGUAGUAAGUGUUUAUCUUUCGCUUGGAGUGUGUGACAGUCUUGCCAUCGACCCCCAUCAUUUCAAGGUUGACCUCGGAUCAGGUAGGGAUACCCGCUGAACUUAAGCAUAUCAAUAAGCGGAGGAAAAGAAACCAACAGGGAUUGCCUUAGUAACUGCGAGUGAAGCGGCAAAAGCUCAAAUUUGAAAUCUGGCGUCUUCGGCGUCCGAAUUGUAAUUUGGAGAGGCAUCUUCGGUGAUGGUGCUGUCCUAAGUUCCUUGGAACAGGAUGACAUAGAGGGUGAGAUCCCCGUGCCUGGGUGGCUGUCCAUCUCCAUGUGAAGUGUCUUCGACGAGUCGAGUUGUUUGGGAAUGCAACUCAAAAUGGGUGGUAAAUUUCAUCUAAAGCUAA